This 29-nucleotide non-coding RNA is filed under the name Mus musculus (house mouse). Lineage: Eukaryota; Metazoa; Chordata; Mammalia; Rodentia; Muridae. The record is from RNAcentral.
UNGCUCACAGAACACAGGGGUCUUCAAAG